Molecule: ribosomal RNA, 253 nt
Filed under: uncultured bacterium
Lineage: Bacteria
Description: partial 16S ribosomal RNA
Rfam family: Bacterial small subunit ribosomal RNA
Source: RNAcentral
UACGUAGGUGGCAAGCGUUGUCCGGAUUUAUUGGGUUUAAAGGGUGCGUAGGCGGUUAUAUAAGUCAGUGCUGAAAUAUCCCGGCUUAACCGGGAGGGUGGCAUUGAUACUGUAUGACUUGAGUAAAGUUGAGGUUGGCGGAAUUGACGGUGUAGCGGUGAAAUGCUUAGAUAUGACACAGAACACCAAUUGCGAAGGCAGCUCGCUAAACUGACAUUGACGCUGAGGCACGAAAGCGUGGGGAUCAAACAGG